RNAcentral lists this ribosomal RNA (422 nucleotides) under uncultured archaeon. Its description in RNAcentral is "partial 16S ribosomal RNA". It matches the Rfam family "Archaeal small subunit ribosomal RNA", at positions 323 to 746 of the family's 1478-position model. The record is from RNAcentral.
CUACGGGUGGCACCAGGCGAGAAAACUUUGCAAUGUGCGAAAGCACGACAAGGUUAAUCCGAGUGGUUUGUGCUAAACGAACCUUUUGACAGUCCUAGAAACACUGUUGAAUAAGGGGUGGGCAAGUUCUGGUGUCAGGCGCCGCGGUAAAACCAGCACCUCAAGUGGUCAGGAUGAUUAUUGGGCCUAAAGCAUCCGUAGCCGGCUCUGUAAGUUUUCGGUUAAAUCUGUACGCUCAACGUACAGGCUGCCGGGAAUACUGCAGAGCUAGGGAGUGGGAGAGGUAGACGGUACUCGGUAGGAAGGGGUAAAAUCCUUUGAUCUAUUGAUGACCACCUGUGGCGAAGGCGGUCUACCAGAACACGUCCGACGGUGAGGGAUGAAAGCUGGGGGAGCAAACCGGAUUAGAUACCCUGGUAGUC